GGAGCACGCUUAGGCGUGUGACUGCGUACCUUUUGUAUAAUGGGUCAGCGACUUAUAUUCUGUAGCAAGGUUAACCGAAUAGGGGAGCCGAAGGGAAACUGAGUCUUAACUGGGCGUUAAGUUGUAGGGUAUAGACCCGAAACCCGGUGAUCUAGCCAUGGGCAGGUUGAAGGUUGGGUAACACUAACUGGAGGACCGAACCGACUAAUGUUGAAAAAUUCGCGGAUGACUUGUGGCUGGGGGUGAAAGGCCAAUCAAACCGGGAGAUAGCUGGUUCUCCCCGAAAGCUAUUUAGGUAGCGCCUCGUGAAUUCAUCUCCG
Molecule: ribosomal RNA, 320 nt
Filed under: Escherichia coli
Lineage: Bacteria; Pseudomonadati; Pseudomonadota; Gammaproteobacteria; Enterobacterales; Enterobacteriaceae
Description: bacterial LSU rRNA
Rfam family: Bacterial large subunit ribosomal RNA
Source: RNAcentral